Strongylocentrotus purpuratus (purple sea urchin) is the source of this 384-nucleotide long non-coding RNA. RefSeq lists it as uncharacterized. The record is from RefSeq and is a predicted model, not a curated record. Lineage: Eukaryota; Metazoa; Echinodermata; Echinoidea; Camarodonta; Strongylocentrotidae. The transcript has 2 exons.
UCUCAUUAUGAUACUAUUCAUAAUGAUCUUAAUAUGUUUGUUAUAAUAUUGUUUACUUUUAAUUAUUAUCAACACUGUGCAGUUUUUGAGCAGUGAUCCUCAGAAAACCCAUUAGUCACUUUCUGGGUCCCGCAUAAUAGAGCUCUUAUAAACGUCGUAAAUCUUAUCUCUAAAGAAUGUUGUGGUUACCUCCAGAGGGUGGGAGAGUGAAGGCUACCGCCCAUCUGGAUGAGGAAGGGUAAAAUCCACUCAUUCCAUCUCAUACCACCUUUGAGACAACACCCAUGCUAUAGAGAAGAGAACUUGUACGAUAUUUGACUUUCCAUGACAAAUUCCAUCCAAUAGGGGGUUUAUCCUUUCUCGGGUUUAUUUUCGAGAAUAAAG